Molecule: long non-coding RNA, 1577 nt
Filed under: Citrus maxima (pomelo)
Lineage: Eukaryota; Viridiplantae; Streptophyta; Magnoliopsida; Sapindales; Rutaceae
Description: long non-coding RNA (CMAX_LNC004036)
Source: RNAcentral
AAAAAAGGAAUAACAGAAGAAGCUUUUCUGAAAGUUAGUGAAGUUGAAAGUUGAACUCAAUUAUAGGGCGGCCUAAUUAGAUUUUAAAUAGCAAAGUUGUAGGCAGAGGGAGCGGAGCAGAGCAGAGUAUCCUAACAAUUUGGUACGGCGAUUCCUCCUAAACCCUAAACCCUGGUUGAUUAAGGGGCUUCAAUUUCUUAUAUUCCCUUGUCGAUAUUUGUUUUUUGUUUACAGAAAUUGUUUUAUGAUUAAUAUUAAUUCUCACAGGGUUGUUGUCGGUGCAUUCACCAUUACUGGCUUUUAUAGUUUGCUAUUUAUCUUAUUAAGAAUUGAUAAGAUGGAGAAUCAUCGAUUUAAUGCAAUUAAUUUGCCAAUUUGAUAUCUAUUAUAUAUAUCUAACCCUGUCUGUUUCAGUUUUCACCCCACUACUAUUAGUCUCUCUGGUUGAGUUUGUUGCAUAUUGGUCCUUGAUGUAGUUGUGAUAUAUUGAACUAUGUACUCCUCUCACUAUAUACUUUGAAUAUUGUUUUUUCACUCUUACUAAUUAUAAUACAUGAGUUCUUCUGCACUUUCUCAAGAAGAAGAAGAAGCUACCCGAGGCAAAGGCUAAGAUUAUACUGAGAUAGUGUUUAAAAUCUUCAACGUUGGCUAGUGGAACAAUUGUGAACAUUCUAGACAUGGCAUGCUCUCACGGGGGAACUCAUCUAUAAUGGCACUGGCAUCAUCAUCAUCCCUUUUGCACUUUGGAUGGUUUUUGAAAUACAGGGUUAUGCCUAGCAACUAGUAGCUCUGUGCCCAUUGACCCAUUUCAUUGCAAACAUUGUGCGUGUCUUGUUGGACGAGUAUUUUUCACCUACCACUACCCGAUUGUUAGGUUAUGCUUUUAAACAGUCAGCCUUAAUACUUCAAAACGCUGGAUAAAGUCGCCGCCACCACCACCCUCAGGCUCUGCAAGGAGAUAUAGUGAAAGUUUUUGUUUUUCAUGUCAUCAUUAGACCUGACAUCAACUACAUUAAUGGGACGAAACUAUGUGAAUAUGAGGCUCCCCCUCUCAUGCUUCCACUAAUCAUUGGUUUCUUUGCACUUUCUUACGUUACCAAAUACCAAUGAAUGGAAUUUGCUCUCACAACCUUUCUACUUCUUAAUGCACAAGAUAUUCAACGCAAUUAAGGGAUUUCCACAGUGUGCAUACAUUCAUGUUUGCUAAUUUUAGUUUUGUUAAUUCUUUCUUUCUUGAAUUUUAAUUUAUUGUCCAAUUUUAUAGUUAUUGAUGAAUUUUUGGGUAUUCCCAUCCAGCAAACGCAGAUCUGGCUCAAUGGCUAGGUAAGGCAACUGCCUAAAGUCUCAGGAAAAAUUAAGUUUCAAUAUUUUUUAGUAUGUAGUUAAACUUUUAUAUUUUAAUCAUUCAAGUUCGAGACUUCCCAUAAACUUUGUAUUAGCGUUAGUUCUCUCUUAAUAUUUUUUUAGCUACAUCAAUGUGCCAUUUUUAAUUCAGUGUCUAAACACACUCUCUAGUGUCCCUUGCUAGGAGUAAAGGGUCAUUAUCCCCAACACUUAUGACAUUGAUUUGCAUUCCG